Molecule: ribosomal RNA, 480 nt
Filed under: uncultured bacterium
Lineage: Bacteria
Description: bacterial SSU rRNA
Rfam family: Bacterial small subunit ribosomal RNA
Source: RNAcentral
AGUAAAUAGAUACCCGGGUAGUCCACGCCGUAAACGAUGUCGACUUGGAGGUUGUGCCCUUGAGGCGUGGCUUCCGGAGCUAAACGCGUUAAAGUCGACCGCCUGGGGAGUACGGCCGCAAGGUUAAAACUCAAAUGAAUUGACGGGGCCCGCACAAGCGGUGGAGCAUGUGGUUUAAUUACGAUGCAACGCGAAGAACCUUACCUACUCUUGACAUCCAGAGAACUUUCCAGAGAUGGAUUGGUGCCUUCGGUACGUACUGAGACAGGUGCUGCAUGGCUGUCGUCAGCUCGUGUUGUGAAAUGUUGGGUUAAGUCCCGCAACGAGCGCAACCUUACUCCUUGUUGCCAGCGGUCCGGCCGGGUAACGUCAAAGGAGACUGCCAGUGAUAAACUAGGAGGAAGGUGGGGUAGUGACGUCAAGUCAUCAUGGCCCUUACGGAGUAGGGCUACACACGUGCUACAAUGGCGCAUACAAACG